AAUGGAGGGUGAAGAAAGCGGAGUCUGUGGAGUGAGGCUCCGCUGAUACUGCCCUCCUAUAGGAAAUGUAUGGUCAGAGAGCAGCCGUGCUACCAGGCAGAGUGGGGGCUGUCUGCGCCAUCCGACAUCC
This is a non-coding RNA of Bufo bufo (common toad), 130 nucleotides long. RefSeq annotates it as small Cajal body-specific RNA 4. NCBI's taxonomy places the organism in Eukaryota, Metazoa, Chordata, Amphibia, Anura, Bufonidae. The record is from RefSeq and is a predicted model, not a curated record. The transcript has a single exon.